RNAcentral lists this ribosomal RNA (807 nucleotides) under uncultured bacterium. Its description in RNAcentral is "bacterial SSU rRNA". It matches the Rfam family "Bacterial small subunit ribosomal RNA", at positions 8 to 796 of the family's 1533-position model. The record is from RNAcentral.
AGAGUUUGAUCCUGGCUCAGAAUCAACGCUGGCGGCGUGCCUAACACAUGCAAGUCGAACGCGAAAGCCCCGCAAGGGGUAAGUAGAGUGGCAAACGGGUGAGUAACACGUGGGUGACCUGCCUUCGAGUGGGGGAUAACGUCCCGAAAGGGACGCUAAUACCGCAUGACAUCCUGCUUUUGGAAAAGCGGAGAUCAAAGCCGGGGAUCGCAAGACCUGGCGCUUGAAGAGGGGCCCGCGCCUGAUUAGCUAGUUGGUAGGGUAACGGCCUACCAAGGCAACGAUCAGUAUCCGGCCUGAGAGGGCGGACGGACACACUGGGACUGAGACACGGCCCAGACUCCUACGGGAGGCAGCAGUGGGGAAUUGUUCGCAAUGGGCGCAAGCCUGACGACGCAACGCCGCGUGGAGGACGAAGAUCUUCGGGUCGUAAACUCCUGUCGAGCGGGAAGAACGCUUCCCGGGUGAAUAAUCCGGGGAAUUGACGGUACCGCUAAAGGAAGCCCCGGCUAACUCCGUGCCAGCAGCCGCGGUAAUACGGGGGGGGCAAGCGUUGUUCGGAAUUACUGGGCGUAAAGGGCUCGUAGGCGGCCAACUAAGUCGGAUGUGAAAUCCCCAGGCUUAACCUGGGAACUGCAUCUGAUACUGGAUGGCUUGAAUCCGGGAGAGGGAUGCAGAAUUCCAGGUGUAGCGGUGAAAUGCGUAGAUAUCUGGAGGAAUACCGGUGGCGAAGCGGCAUCCUGGACCGGCAUUGACGCUGAUGAGCGAAAGCUAGGGAGCAAACGGGAUUAGAUACCCCGGUAGUCC